AUUGAACGCUGGCGGCAUGCCUUACACAUGCAAGUCGAACGGUAACAGGUCUUCGGAUGCUGACGAGUGGCGAACGGGUGAGUAAUACAUCGGAACGUGCCCGAUCGUGGGGGAUAACGAGGCGAAAGCUUUGCUAAUACCGCAUACGAUCUACGGAUGAAAGCGGGGGAUCUUCGGACCUCGCGCGGACGGAGCGGCCGAUGGCAGAUUAGGUAGUUGGUGGGAUAAAAGCUUACCAAGCCGACGAUCUGUAGCUGGUCUGAGAGGAUGAUCAGCCACACUGGGACUGAGACACGGCCCAGACUCCUACGGGAGGCAGCAGUGGGGAAUUUUGGACAAUGGGCGAGAGCCUGAUCCAGCCAUGCCGCGUGCAGGAUGAAGGCCUUUGGGUUGUAAACUGCUUUUGUACGGAACGAAAAGCCUCUUUCUAAUAAAGAGGGGUCAUGACGGUACCGUAAGAAUAAGCACCGGCUAACUACGUG
This 482-nucleotide ribosomal RNA is filed under the name uncultured bacterium. RNAcentral's name for it is "partial 16S ribosomal RNA". It matches the Rfam family "Bacterial small subunit ribosomal RNA", at positions 30 to 507 of the family's 1533-position model. The record is from RNAcentral.